UUCCUGAUAGCUCAAUGGUAGAGCGUGUGGCUGUUAACCAUUAAGUUAUAGGUUCGAAUCCUAUUCAGGAAG
Molecule: transfer RNA, 72 nt
Filed under: Polyopes affinis
Lineage: Eukaryota; Rhodophyta; Florideophyceae; Halymeniales; Halymeniaceae
Description: tRNA-Asn
Rfam family: tRNA
About the family: Transfer RNA (tRNA) molecules are approximately 80 nucleotides in length. Their secondary structure includes four short double-helical elements and three loops (D, anti-codon, and T loops).
Source: RNAcentral